AAAAGUCCAUUAUAUUAAGCUGGGCCCUAUGGGGACAUAGUGGUCAUGACGAACACACUUGCUGUGGUCAGGUGCUCAAGUGCACUCAAAUGCCUUUCUGAAUUCAGGGCUGGUGAAGUGUGUUCUUAUGAGUCAGUUUGAACUAAAAUGUGUCCGUGAGAGCUGCGUUCAUUCAAAAAGGAGAAGUGUCUUAAGCUCUAAGGAGGAAAUUAAACCUUGCUGAGGCCAGCCAAGAACAUGUUGAGAUCUUUUAGUUUCGCUGGAAACAUGUAAACCUGCAUACCUGAGUCAGACACUUAAAAACUGUUUUCAGAAGCAUUUUUAUGGAGAAAGCCCCCAUCACUGUCCCCAUAUUUUCAUAGCUGGCAUAUACACACUUUAGACUCUCAGGAACUGUUCACCAUGCAGAGAAAACAUGAAGAGUGAACUGAGGCACGUGGAUCUGCAGAUCUCACCCGGGAGCUGCACUGCACUCAGUGGGGCUGCAGAAUGUUCCUUUCUGUGCAGGGAAAGCUAAGAGGUGGGUAGUACAGUUUCAUAUCACAGUUCAGCACAUUUUGACAGGGAAAUGUGCUCUUCCUCAGCCUUUGAUGGCGCCUGGGUUAGAAAAGUGUCCACUAUCCUGCUGGUUAGCACUCCCAGUACUCACAAAUACUGAAAAGGAAAGGGAAGACGACAGAUCGCUAGUGAAGUCCCAAGACAAGUUCUAGCAAAAUCCAAGCUAUGUUGCAGUGCUCCCAGGGCAGCUGUGCUGUCCAGCACUGACCACGUGCUGCAGCAAGGUGUUCCACACCUUCUUGUUCUGUAGCUCUACUGAAAGUAAACAGAUGGCAAAUUAGCUCUCAGGUGUUUCACUAAAUUCAGGAGUGAGGCUAAGCUCAUGUAAUUUAUACAUUGUUCUGGGCUCCUUAAAGUUAAAAUCAUUGCCAUUACACUAAUUUUUACACCCACACUUUCUCUGUCUGCAGCCUUGCCCAUCCUUUACUCAUCACCUUGGAAUCUGGCCCCCUCAAUCUAAAAGAGAAAAUGGGAUUUACAAACCCACUCCCAGCUUCAUACCAUCAUCUUCUCCUCCAGGUGCAGCCUUCUGCUUUUACACCAGGCUGUGUACCUGCAAGGACUUCUUUAGCCUGGCUUGGACUCAGGGCUCUGCACAGAGCUGUCUUGGUCAGUGUCAGUGCGUGGACGUUAUACAUAGAUGAUGAGUCCUUAGCCUGGAUGCUGCACAAUGGUGGCAGCAUUUUCAGUCAUUUCUGAGUCUGGAUUUUCACACACCAAAAAUCGAUUAAUUGAUUGCAGCCAGGAAUAUGUCCUCCAGCUGCUGGACGUCCAUGAGCAAUGUCAAGAAAAAGGCUCACUCAUUGCAACUAGUUUGCAGUUUCCCACUCCAUCACCUAAUAAAGAGCCAGAGCCAAACAGACCAAGUGCAAAUGCUUCUUUAUGAUCAAAUUUCAUAACACAGCAGUACAUUGUAAUCUAGUGUGUGUUUCCUGUGUAAAAUCCAUUCACCCACUGGAAGACCAUGAGCAAACACCAAUAAAAUUCUUAGCAAAAAAAGGGGGGGGGGAGGUGGAGAUGUCAAUACAAUACAGUAUUUUUUCUGCUGCAGGAAUGGAUGGAGGAGCUGCUGUGUGCGAUGGUCACGGCAUCACUUGUGCAUUUAUCUGGACGAGGGUCAACCAAAUGGCCAAGCCGAUACUGGCUGUUGAGUUUCCGAAGUUUAAAUUCAACUACCAUAUGUAGCAGGAGUCAACAUAAUCUACAAGAAGCACGUUUGCAGUGUAUGAACAAAAUCGGUGCAGAAAAUACUGUUAUUCUGCUGAUUACAGAUCUUCCUCAUCUUGUUUUGGCCAGGUGCAGAUUUUUUGUGGGCUUAAGUGAACAUGCAGUUAGAGACAUUAAGUGGCUGUAGACUAGAUCUUUACUUUGGCUUUAAAAGUAUGAUUAUUUUGCAACAUAAGGGUUAGUUUUGCUUUGGUGGUUUUUGCUUUGUUUUGUGCACUAACAGCUAGAUGUUGUUUUCUCAUUAUCAUUAUUAUUUGCACAAUGAAAAACCUCGUUUCUGUUUUGUUCAAUAUUGUUCUCUCAAAUGCACAUGCUCAGCGUGCCUCCAUUACAAAAAAGUCCUGCUGAGAUCCCCACCAGCAGAACAGAAGCUUGUGUAGUGCAAAGGUCUCAUCGGAACUGGUCCGUAGUGUUCUGUAAUUUCAUCAUGUUUAAGCACUUAGGAAUAAAAUUACUGUAACCAGCCUGGCAAUGCUUUGCCUCAGAUCACAUGCAAGACGAUUUUUUUUUUAAAAGAAGGUUAUUAUUUUAUUCUACUGUAGAAUAGACCUUUAUGUACACAUAUACAUUCUGUAUUUAUAUACAGAAUUUAUAUUCCGCCCUGGUGAGACCACAUCUGGAAUAUUGUGUCCAGUUCUGGGCCCCUCAGUUCCAGAAGGACAGGGAACUGCUGGAGAGAGACCAGCAUAGGGCAACGAAGAUGAUCAAGGGAGUGGAGCAUCUCCCUUAUGAAGAAAGGCUGAGGGAGCUGGGUCUCUUUAGUUUGGAGAAGAGGAGACUGAGGGGUGACCUUAUUAAUGCUUACAAAUAUGUAAAGGGUGAGUGUCACAAGGAUGGAGCCAGGCUCUUGUCAGUGGCAAACAAUGAUAGGACAAGGGGCAAUGGAUACAAACUGGAGCAUAGGAGGGUUCCACUUAAAUAUGAGAAGAAACUUCUUCUCAGUGAGGAUGACAGACACUGGAACAGGCUGCCCAGGGGGAUUGUGGAGUCUCCUUCUCUGGAGACAUUCAAAACCCACCUGGACAUGUUCCUGUGUAGCCUCAUCUCGAUGUUCCUGCUCCAGCAGGGGGAUUGGACUAGAUGAUCUUCUGAGGUCCCUUCCAAUCCCAAACAUACUGUGAUACUGUGAUAUGUUUAUCAUUAUGUUCUAAUGAAAUGUCUGAUAUAGAACUUGGGCAAAGCAGGGUGAUUUCUUGAAUUCCAGUGGUUUAAUUUUCUAAGCUUUAAACCAGCAUGCUCUCCCUUAAACUGUUGAUUAAAGACUAGAUUUUAAUAUAGAAUCUGCUAUACUUAGGAAAAUUCUUGCAUGCUGAAUAUUACAUAAAUUGUACAUUCACAAACUGAAGCUGGGAUCUGGGCAGAAGAAAUGGAAACUUCACAAAGACUGAGGCUCGGAGAAAGCACUGCUUAAAUGCUGCAUUCUUUUGUGUGUGUGCAUGCUUUUCCACCAAGGCAUGAGAAAAAUGUCAUUUAUAAAGUUUUGAACAAGCCAAAUCUCCCUUUGUCAGAACAACGAAAACAAAUUAAAUACAACUGUGGUGAGGAAGGAUUGAGAAAAUCAAAUGAUGGGAAAAGUCUCCAUCUUACUCAACUACCCCUGCCGCUGAAGCCGUGGCUCUUGCCAGCGGCCUCGGUGUGCCCUCCGCCAGCCACCCUGGCUGUCAGCACAACAUUAGAAACAUUCCCACUAAUCCCAUCAUUCACCGCUCUUGUGGAAACCAGCAGGCUCACGAGCAAAUCCACUCGCGCUCAUCCUAUUGAAAGCGCUGCCUUAUCGGGCAUAAUCAAAAUGGCUCAUGUGCAAUGUGAAGAGCAAGUGGGUUUUACCAACACUCACGCCAAAGCUAAAUAUGGAUUAAAUUGCACCCUGCCGGCACAAAGUGUGCAUUGUGUGGCUUUGCUCCGAGUACCCAACCUCAGCUUGCUCCAUGCCUGAUAAAACACUACACGCUCCCUUCAAUGCCCUUUUUUUAAAAGGGUUAAACAAAGCAGCAGUGUCUGCACUGGAAUGUGCUGCAGGUAGCGAUCGAAACCUCCAUCACCCAAGUCAGCCAGAGGAUUAAUUUAAUGCAUGAAGGUUAUUGCUUGGAGGCACUUCACAGGAAUGCAAACCAAAGGCCCUCAAAGAGCCCACAACAAAGGGAAAAGCCAUAAGAUCUCCAGCUCAGGGUAGGAUGAGGAGCUUUGGCUUGAGAGCUUGGUCUACCCUGUACAACAGACAGGAAACACCGUUGUACUGAAAAGCCAUCCGAGCAGGGAAAAGGUUUUGGGGUGGCUUUUUUUAAAUUGUUCUGUAGACCUCUUUUAGAAAGAUAGUUGGAUAGAAGGUUGCAGCCUUACUUUAUGACAUUAUAUAUUUUAUGACUAUGCAAGUUUUGUUACGACAUAUGUAAUUUGUUUUGAAUUGUAUUUUGUUUCUAGUUGAAAGAGAAGAAAUACCUGUUUUUCAAUUCUUGGGUUUUUUUCCUUGUUUUUUGUUUUUUAUUUAUUUAUUUAUUUUGGGCAGGGGCACGCUCCUGUGAUCCUUGCUGUGCUGAGAGUCGCAAAGCUGCCUUUGUGGACACAAAGGGGUAGAAUUGAGCUGCCACACCUGCCGAGUGCUCUGGGCUGCUGCCGUGGCUCGCAGCCUCAGCACAAGACACGAGAAGACUACUCAGGAGCGCAGCACACGGGCACAGCCACACAAGGAGACCUCGCUGUUCCGGGAAGGUGCUCUCCAGCUACCCUCUGAAUUAUGUGCUUAAAAACUAGAGAAGUAACAGCAAUAUAGAGACAAGAACCAACGCAGAAUUUGCUAGAUGGAACUAGUGACAGGGACAGAGCACCUUUCAAUUUCUCUCAAACUUUCCCAUAAAAACCAAUAGUGCUUUAAAUUUUCCACCACAAGCAACCUGGCUCUAUGUUGCCUACCAUCCUUGUCUGGAUUCAGUCUCCAGUCACUGUUUCUUACAUCUUUUCCAUAAGAAGUCAUAUAAUUAUAUGCAAUUAUCAAAUAACUCUUCUCAGUCCUCUACUCUUGUCAGUCAAACCAUGCCACUCCUUUCUUAAUAAUUUAAAUUCUGGAGCAUCCCACUUGAGUAACAUUUUUCUGAAUCUUUUGAACAUAUAAACCUCUUGGACAAGGUUUGAAAAAUGGCCUAGAUUAGUUUUCCCCACCGGUAUUUUCUCAUUCCCUCUUUCUUUCGCCAACGUUUGGAACCACUCCUGGCUGCAGCACAACACAAGCGCAGGCUCCGUGGGGCCUCUCAGGGCCAUGGUUAGCGCAUCCUUUUCUGUUUCAAAAAGAAAGCUAUUUUCUCAUUAUUUACCUAUCUACCUUCUCUGAAACAGUCUGCUGUGUGGAGUACUGGGUUUUCUUUUCAAAGACAUUAUACUGUAGUGCUCAUCAGCCUUUUUUCUUUUAACUUUCUAACUUACAGCUUCUUCGAGGCCCUCCAACUUGAAGAACAAUGCUACUGUUAAAAAGAAAGCAUCUCAAGACAAAGAUGUACCAAAUUAUACCGCAAUUUUAACACAAAUCAUUAUGGAAUUCUAAAAAUAAUAAAUAAUUUAUCACUAACUUUGUACAGAAUGCUUUUAUCAAUUUGGGAUCAACAAACCAAGACCAGUUCAUGUAACAUUUUAUUCACAAGUAGAAAAAGUAUUACAAAACAAUAUAUAAAACACUUUAAUUUACAUUCCUUAAAGGAGUAUUUAAAACAGCACUCUAAAUCCCUAGAGAUGAUAUGUGGGCAGUCUAAAUGCGGUGGUAGCAUAUGUUUUCUAUUGGCAUGUACAACAUUGCUUGCCACAGGCAAUAUAAAAAAGACCAAUUUGGUUAAAUUAAAGAAAAAACUAUAUACACAAUAUACACAUAUAUUUAGAAAGCACUCUCUUAAUUUUUUUCCCCCAAUUUGCUCUCAAGUUAUCUGUCACUCAUUUAAAGACAUGAGUAUUUUUCUCACCAGACAAAAACAAUUAUACAAAGUGUAAAUUCCAAUGGGAAAACAUACUGUGGCAGACGCUGGCAAAACCUUUGAAAAUAACAUUUUAAAGAACUGUUAUUAGUGAAAAGUUAAAUCUCCAUAUGUUCUAAAAAUAUCUUGCCAUAUACUGAAAUGCACAUUGGAUUUUUUUCUAUUUACAAAGUAUAUACAAAGAAGCACACAUCUCUUCAUGCACAUGUAGUGAAAAAAGAAUGUUUUGUCACUUCUUAAAUGUAUGGAAGUAUCCAAAGAAAUUAUUCAAAACUACUCUUAUUUGAGUAUAUAAAGUGUUUAGCUGAGUAAUUGUACACCCUGUAUAAGUGCAUAUUAUUCUGUCAGUGACCAAAUGGUGGUAUUUACCACCAUAUAAAAAAAUUUAAAACAAUCACAUAAUUUCUUCAUUUACUUGGUUUGGAUUUGAUAACUGUUAUUCAUGAUUUUUGCACACAUGAAUAAUCUCACAGGUUUUAGCUGAAGCAUCUCACUGUCACUACAUCCAGUUCAGCUGUUCUUGUGCAGGUUCAAGCUUCUACUGGGUGCUUCCAAGAAAAAGUCUUCUUCCAUUUUGGAACAUGAAUACUGUCUCAACAUUUCCGUUGCCACACAAACCAUGUGUGGAAAGAUGAGUAAUAUUUAUUGCAAUUUGCAUUUGUUUUGCUGAUCACAUUGCUUUUGUCAAGGCACACUGGGUAGUUUAAAGAAUAAUUGGUGGAGUUCAUCACUGACAGGUUUGAGCCUGUUGAAUGUAAUGAAUCAGUAGAGGUUACUGGGAUUACUCACAGAAGUGAAAACUAUUUUAGGGAUAAAAAUGGCUGCAGAACAAAUGGCAUUAUGUCAUGGGACGUGGUGCAACAAACUGCAGUUAAAAUCUUAAAGAACAGUAGUGAGGGCAGAGUUGACGAUUUGCUAGGCAUGCGUGCAACUUCAAGGAUUCCAUUCAGAGGUAUUUUAAAAUGUUAUGAAUAAAUGUUUACAUUUUGCAUGAAAAAAAUAAAUUUACACAAUACUAGAGCGAGAAGGACAGAGUGACGUGAAUGAAAAGGCCUACUAUAUAAAUGAAUCAGAUCACCAUGAAGCUUGACCCUUGAAAAUAAUGCAUUACUAAAAAAUAUUAGUAAUAGUCUCAUUGUAUGAAUACCUUCAUGACAUUUUGAUGUGACAGUUGAUUAUAUUUAUUUCAACAUCCAAAAAUUACAUGCUAUAACAACAAGUGCUUUGUUCCAAUACCAAGACUACCAAUUAAAGACAACAUCCCUACCUAUAUGGCUGACUUUCACUAAACUAAAUCUAAUUUAAAGCUAAUCGCCUGCUAUAUUUAACAAAAUAAUGCCCCCUCCCACAAAUGUAACAAUUGGAUGGAGGGGACUUCAACCAUAGAUAUUGUAACAUGCAAAUUCUCUAACUUCCCAAACUAGCUUAUUGACUAUAAUGUAAUACAUAAGAAAAGCUUCAGCUUAUCAAUAGAUGAUCCUUGUAUAAAUAGAAAUGU
Molecule: long non-coding RNA, 7239 nt
Organism: Columba livia (rock pigeon)
Lineage: Eukaryota; Metazoa; Chordata; Aves; Columbiformes; Columbidae
Exons: 2
Source: RefSeq, a predicted model, not a curated record